This 425-nucleotide ribosomal RNA is filed under the name uncultured Alphaproteobacteria bacterium. RNAcentral describes it as "bacterial SSU rRNA". It matches the Rfam family "Bacterial small subunit ribosomal RNA", at positions 958 to 1385 of the family's 1533-position model. The record is from RNAcentral. Lineage: Bacteria; Pseudomonadati; Pseudomonadota; Alphaproteobacteria.
AACGCGAAGAACCUUACCAGGCCUUGACAUCCCGUGCUAAGCCCAGAGAUGGGUGGUCCCCGCAAGGGGCGCGGAGACAGGUGCUGCAUGGCUGUCGUCAGCUCGUGUCGUGAGAUGUUGGGUUAAGUCCCGCAACGAGCGCAACCCUCGCCUUUAGUUGCCAUCAUUUGGUUGGGCACUCUAAAGGGACCGCCGGCGACAAGCCGGAGGAAGGUGGGGAUGACGUCAAGUCCUCAUGGCCCUUACGGCCUGGGCUACACACGUGCUACAAUGGCGGUGACAGUGGGCAGCGACCACGCGAGUGGAUGCGAAUCCCAAAAAACCGUCCCAGUUCAGAUUGCACUCUGCAACUCGGGUGCAUGAAGGUGGAAUCGCUAGUAAUCGCAGAACAGCAGGCUGCGGUGAAUACGUUCCCGGGCCUUGUA